Dromaius novaehollandiae (emu) is the source of this 12161-nucleotide RNA transcript. It is a transcript of the gene named mucin 4, cell surface associated, with no coding region annotated. The transcript is spliced from 28 exons. NCBI's taxonomy places the organism in Eukaryota, Metazoa, Chordata, Aves, Casuariiformes, Dromaiidae. The record is from RefSeq and is a predicted model, not a curated record.
GGUCAGCCGGAGAUCCGGGCAAGCAGCCCCUCAUCCCACUGCCCGGCGCCGCAGAUGGCCCCUCUGCCAGCGGGUCAGCAGAGCAGCCCCUGGCAGAGCCCGGUGGCGUCUCCCUGGCACCUGAAGGCACCAGUGCAGAGCUGCCUCCAGACGUGUCUCCCACCAUGGCCAGACCAGGAAUAUGCGAGGCGUUCCCCAAGGCAGCUGUGAUCCAGCCCGGGCAUCCCUCUCCCUCCAGCUGGGCCAGCUCUGGAGAUGGCCAGGAUUCAGGUGACGUGGUGGUGCAGACUGCAGGAGCAAUGGUCCCAGUUGUGACCAGCAAGGUGGAGGAGGUGCCUCCCAGUACAGUGGCUGCCUCUGGGCUCGCUGAGGGUAUGGCAGCACGAGACAGCCCCCAGGCAAGGGCAGGGGUUUCCUCUGCAAGCCCUGCCGGCCACCCAACCAGCGUCCCUGUGGCUCCUGCUGCCACUCGGCAUGGGCACCCUCUGUCCCCUGUACCAACCGGGCACGUGUCAGCUCUUGCCGUGGGGAGCAACAGUGCUGGGCUGGGCACAGCCAUGUCGUCCCCAGAUCUAGGCAUCCCUACUGAAGAGGGGAUGGGCAAACUGCCACUCUCAAACAGCGGCACUGCUCUUGAGCAGGCCCCAGAGGCAUUUACAGCAGCUGUGGAGAGCAUCGCUGGAGAGCCAGCCCCGGGGACAGCCAACCACGUGCUAGAGGGAAUCACAGCAGAGCCACGUGCAGGUGCCGCAGGCCCACUGAAAGGGGCCUUCCCCAAACCAGGCGGAGGCACGUCUCCCCCGAUUGCACAAACCCCCAUUGUUCAACCAAUGCUGGGGUCAAAAGCAUCUUCCUUAGUCCCUAGCAAAACCUCCCAUGCCAAUGGGUUAGUCCAGCAGGAUGAUAUCGCUGUGGAGGGGACACUGGGGACAACACGGACCACAGCUCUGUCUCAUAUCAAACUAGGCAUGGGAUUGUCAUCUCCUGCUAUCAGCAAGAGCACUGCGGCAUCCCAUGAAGCUGCUGGGCUCCCAUCCCAGGAGGUCACGUCAGAGCUGGACAAGGGCACCUCCCCUCACACAGCAGCAGGAAGAGCAGAGGGGGUGACACCACCAUUUGAAGACCUCCCAAGUGCUUCCUCAGCGAGGGCCACCUUCUCUCCCAUCAGUAGGACUACAGAGCCAGGGACAACCGCCUUACCUGCAGCUGGCCAUGACGCCUCCCAGGAGCCUCCGACACCCCCUGCUUGGCCACCUCCAGCCAUUUCCCCUGCAGGCCCUGGCAGUGCCACAGCAGAGCUGGUAGCAAGUGCCUUCCCAGUCGCAUCAGCCACGGAGUCAAGUGAAGGAGUGCCAUCGCCCACCAGCAAUGACGCAGGCCCUGGGCAAGGGACGGAGCACUUGUCCCCACAUGGGACAAAUGUCGCUGCUGGAGAUGGGCCGCCUAGAGCCAGCACCGGUACCCCCCUCCGUGCCACCACGCCAUCUCUGGACACAGCAGCCACAGCCACUGUCGGGCGCCAUGCUGAUCCAGCUGCCACCUCCUCUUCCUCCAGCAUGGAGGUAACUGCUGCAAAGGACGUCCCUGCUGGGUUGUUUCCAGACCCAGAAAAUACCACCACUGAGUUGGUCUUUGGCACAAGCAAGUCCACCUCCAGAGCAGUGACUGGCACUGCUUCCCCAAGGACCACGAGCUCCCUGAUGGGCACGGCACCAUUGCCCAGCACUGCUGGAAAGGCCCCAGCUCCCAGCACGGCAUUUCCUGAUGAUCCCAGUACUGCUGCUGGACUGAUGAACAGCGUCUCCACUGUGCCGCGUGGCAGUCCCUCUCCCAGGCCCUUCGCAGGCACGGUGUCCUCCUUCGGAGACCCCGCUGGGGCUCUGCCCACCACAACAGCCUUUGCAGACCCUGACGCUGCCACGGCAGAAGCAGCUGCAGGUGAAUCCUCUCCAGCAAGACUCAGCAUGGCGAUGUCCUUGCCCCUUGCUGGAAACAGUGCCAGAAAAGCACAGACAGAUGUGUCCCCUGGAUCCACUGCAGCACCAUCUUCCCUUGGCAGGUAUGACAAGAUGACCAGCCCAGCUGCAGACCUGUCCUCCUCCUUCACCAUGAGCCCAAUCAGUGAAGCAGGGCCAGCCUUUGGAAAUACCCCUGCCAAGGAAGGUCCCAGCGCAUCGACCGCAGCAGUGGGCAGUUCCCCCGGGCCAGGCACCGUGACGCCCUGGGAUGCCAGCCCCAUGCCUGCUUUGCCUGACGUGUCUCCUGGCCUUGGCAGCAGCCGCCCAGGGCCAGCUGUGGGCUCACCGCCGCCAACAGUCAGCAUCGUGAGUGACCCUGCACCAUCCAAGGUGACUAGGAGUGGACCUGUAAGCAAGUCAGCUGUCCCUGGGUCUUCGCUGCUCCUCAUGCCAUCCUCAGACAUGACCGCUCUGGUUUCAGUCACCGACAGCAGCAACCCAGACCUGGGCUCUUCUGCAGCUGUGGCCAAGAUCUCCAUUGGACUCUCUCCCCCAUCCAGGAGCAUCACUUUUAACCCAGCCACAGCCGCUCUGGGCAUGGACACCGCGACGCCACAAGCACCUCAAAGUGUCUCAGCCCCAAAUGCGGGUGUCACCGGUGAGCCAGCGCCACACAUGUACAUGCAACGUCCAGAUGCCACCAGCCAUCCACUCAUCUCCCGCAGUUCCCCUGUUACCCCCAGUGAGGAGAUGUGGUCGCGCACAGCUGAAGUGGACCUGGCGGGGGUGUCCCGAGAUCUGAGCACAGGCAGACUGGGCGCAGGACCCGCUGCCUCCAUCCCCAGCCCUGGGAAGCUGCAUGAUCCCACAGUGUCCCCUCCAACCCCUAGCAGUGCCACUCCCACUGCCAUUCAGCCAACAACAGCGACAGCUUCUGAACCCACAGAGGGCACAACUACAGCAGGAACAACCGUCAACGUCGUGGGAUUGGUCAGCACCCUGGAGACAGCCAGAGCCAGCGGUGCUGCUGCAGCAUCACGUGCGGGUGCCCCCCCUCUCCUGGAUGACAGUCCCACCACAGGGUCACCCCUGGGGGUGUCCCUAUCCAGCAUCGCCCCAAGGACAGUGGCAGCCACAUCACCGCCACCACACAACAGCCUGGCCACCCCACGGUCAGUGCUGGGUGGCGAUGCCCGCCGAGCCCUGCACAGCGCCUCCCCCAGCCCCGAUGGCAGCACCACCGCUGUACUACCGGCCAAGUACCCGGACGUGGGCCCAGAGGAGGAUCCAGGGAUCGGCGUGACCCACCUCCUGCCUCCCGCUGCCCCAAUGUGGAGGGCAGCUGGCUCCACGUCCCCGGGUCCUGGAAACACUGUGACCAAGCCAGCCGUGGGCCCCUCUGCUCAUGCCAGCACAGCCACCCCAGAAACAGGUUGGGAUUCAACCUCAGCCAAGGGAAGGUCAUUUCUCGUCACUGACGACUACGUCACCCGCCUGGGUAUGAGCCAGGCAGCAUCUCUCCAGGGCCACUUUGGGGCUGAGCUGGCUCCAGAUGUGCCAGCUAUUGCCCAUGGCACCGAUGGCACAGGGCCAGCUUCCAGCUCCACACUCAGCAGGACAGAGCCACUGCCGGAGCUGUCCCCCCAGGGUGACGAUGCUCCCCAAACCAGGCCCCCGGUGGGCUUUCCUCUCCUGGCUCCCAGAGACGGUCAAUCUGCUCCUCCAGCCUUGGCAGGCGCCAGCCCAGUGUCGAAUGCGGCUGGCCCCCUCCCCAGCACCACUGCCGCCCAGAUGCCCCCACCUGCAUCUCCACCAGUUGCCAAAAGUGCAGCCGCAGAGGGAGCCAGGGGCAGGUCACAGCCAGCAGGAGACGGCAGCCCCAUGCAGACAGCUGUGGGCUCAAACCUGGUUGAAAAUGCAACAGCAGAUGCCUGGACGAGCGGGACAGACAGCGAAAACACUCCUCCUGGGCCGGCUCCGCGUGCAUUGCACCCCUCCAGAGCCAGCGUCACUGCUCAGCCACACGCAGCCUCCUCGAACCAGAGCGGCAGCGCUGCUGAGCCGAUGGCGGACACGUCCUCCCCGGGCGCCAGGCAGGGGGCAGUGGGGCCAGCCCCAAGACUGCCCCCCUCCAUCACCGCAGGGGCUGAGCCAGGUACCAGCAACGCGCCCCCAGCAGCACGGUCUGCCCCGGGCAGCAAGAGCGCCGUGGCGGGUCUGUCCACACGGGCGGUGCCCAGCCCCGCGCCGGAGCUGGCCAGAGCACCUUCCCCAGUGCUCGGUCCCACGGCUCAGCUGGGUGGCAGCGCGUCCUCUCCCGUCCCCGGCAGCACCAGGCCAGUGGUGGUGGCAUCCUCUGGCAUCCCUGGUGAUGGCAUCAUGGGGACGGCAGCGGGGGUAAGCGACAGUGGUCUCAGCACGGCUGCAUCCUCCUCUGCGGCCCUGGCCCAUACCCUGCCUCUCAGCAGCGGGGCUGGCGCAGAGCUCGUCACAGUGGCCGCCUCCUCACACAGCCCCCGCAGCCCCCCUCGGCCACCGGCAGAGCCCAGAGAAGGCACCAGUGAGCCCUCCACAGGGUCUUCCAGACCAGGCGCCGACAGAGCCCAGGAUGGGCCCUUGGCCGGGGCAUCCUCGCCGAGCACAGGCAGCACGCGCGCAGGGGAAAGCACAGCCACAUCCGGGUCAGGCGCCGGGGGUGCCACUGUCCCGGCAGAGACUGCUGCAUCCUCCCCGGGCCCCCCUGAGAGCAGUGCUGGCGGUGCAGCAUCCCUCGCCAGCAGCAAGGGCACCAGUGUACCCGUCACUGACACCACCAGCACGGACACGAGGACUGGCACGACAUCCCUCUCAGCUGACAGCGCGGCCCCUGUGCCAGCCACCAAUGUGCCCUCCGCAGCCCACACACAUGCUGCCACACUCCCGCCGACCGGCACGCUGCUCCCACUGCCAAACCCUGGCAACCUUGGCGUGGUGCCACCGGAGGGGAUGCCCUCCCUGCUCACCCCUGGUUUUACUGCUCGGCCGGCGAGGGGCACAGCAGCCCCUGGGGAGCCACUGUCACACACGGUGCCACCGAGCGCUGGCUCUACAGCCACUGGGGCAGCUGCGGACGCAGCUGUGGUGGCCACCGCUAGCAGCACUGCCCAGUCAGCCCUGGGCACCUUGUCCCUGCUUACGGACAGGUUAACGUCCUCAACGAGCACCAUGAGCUGGAGUCGUGCCCCUAUGGAGGCUGCAGCAGGUCCAUCCUCCCUGGGGACCAGCAGUGUCCUGGCUGGGCCACUGCGACAGCUGACAUCCCCUGCAAACAGCGUCUCUGCGGCUGAUCGAGCGGGCGGCACCUCAUCCACCCGACCCACCGCCACUGGGCUGCCACCAGGCAUGGUCCUCUCCAGCAACGCCAUCAUCCCAGCCGGCCCACCCAGAGGGGAGACAUCUGCGGCCACAGCAGCUGGCAGGACAGCUGAGACGUCAACUGCCAGAGCAGGGUUUGCAAAGGCCACCGGCACCAGCCGUGCCCUGUCGCCUGCCGCAGAGCAACCUGUCACGAACAAUGGGGCAGACGGACCUGCGCUAUCCAGCUCUGGUGGUGUUGACACAGGGGAUGAAGGUGCAAGCACAACUCCAGCAGCUGUCAAUGAGCUCACUGCUUCCCCAGCUGCAUUUGGUGCUGCUGAGGAGGAGACAACUAUGAUGGUGCCUGAUGAUAUGGCAGUUGGGAACAGCACAGGCCCGGUGCCUGCUCUGCUCAGGCACACAGCUACAGCUGAGCCCACUGCCACCAUGCUUGCAACAGUCGGCAAAGAUACCACAGCUCCAUCACAGACAGCCCUGGCUUUGCCUGUCUUCACCGCUUCACCGAGCGAAGCAACAGCCAGCAAGUCAGUGUCCGUCACAGACAGUGUCCCAGCUCAAACGGCCCCCAGGACGGUCCCCGAGGGGAACGAGGUGGCAGCCAGUCUGCCUUCCUCGCUCACUGGCAGCACCCCAGCUCUGGGGGGCCAGAUCACAGCUGAGAUGGUGACCACAGCGGUGGGAGCAAGAGACAUAGUUGCAACCAUCUCCCAAGCCACCAGUGCUGCUCUGGCAGCUGGAGCACCGCUGGCCACUGUCAAUGGGACAGCAGUGAGCCCACACCUCGGUCCCAGCACCACUAGCAGUGGAUCAGGAAUGGCUGUCUUAUCUCCCACAAUGCCCACCACCACAAUAAGGCCAACCAGUGGGUCCUUGGAGGUGCCCAAUCACAGCCAUGCCAUUGCGGUACCCGGUAUGCCUUUCCCCAGCAAGCACAAUGCAACAGAGGAGCCAACGAUUGGGCCAUCAUCCGUACUCAGUGAUGGUGCAACCACGGACCUGGCAGCCUCCCUGGCAGUUGGAUAUGCUGCUUCCAAGCCAGCAACAAGCGCCUCCUCCUCCACAGCCACCAGCAGCCCUGUAGCAGGACAGGCACUGAGCACAUCAUCUCACGUCACCCAGGUGUCCCUGGGGCAACCUUUCUCUGGGGAGAAAACAGCUGAACCUGCCAGCAACAGCUCAGCCACCAUCGUUCAUGACAUCCCAGGCAGGUCAACAGGCCGUGUUUCCUUUCCUGCAUUUGCCACCACGACCAGUCCCACCGGCGUGCGGCUGGGAAACAGCACAUCUAUGCCCAGCUCUCCCAGCUCUCCUGGUGCCCCAGCUAGGCUGGCGCUAACACUGGCUUCCCCUAGCCACGGAACCGCGGAUAGCACCACAGCAAGUCCCCUUCACAUCCCCAGUGACGACACAGCCAAUGAGCCAGCCACAGUGACCUCCCCCACGGUCCUAAAUAGCAAUGCAGCAGGGGCAACUAGGGAUGAACCCCAAUCUGGGGCUCUUCUCACACUUGCAAAGGGCCUCACCACCCCACAGGAAGAUUUUGGGCCUUUCUCUGUCUUUGGCACCCAUGGAGCUGUGCCUGUCCCUGCAGCAGGCAGACAAGCUGGAUCACAGCCUGCAUUUGCCACCACGUCCAUCCCUCCUGCCUCUGCUGCCAGCCCAGAGCCAGGCGCCAUGGACAAAAUUGGCCCCUCACCGGCUCUGCUCCAGUCACCAGGAUCUGGAAACGGAGUGGCCAAAACAGGGCUUGUAGAAAGUGUCACCCCAGUGGCUCCCACCACCACGGCCGUUUCACCACACAGCAUGCUGCCUGUCCCACCUGCGAGCCCAGCCCAGCCCAGCCGACCAACACAGGCCAGCCCAGCCAAGGAGGGGGGAGGCCUCGUGGGUGGCACGGCCACCACACCGAGGAAACCACUGGCAGCCACCAGCCCCACUGCCACCACAGCUCCUGCCUUUGGGACGCAGAAAGGACCAGCCAUGGCACCAGGGGCUUCUGCCCACACCACCUCUAGCCACAAAAAUCCCAUGCUUACGCCUCUGCCUGAGCCCCAACCCACCCUAGGGCUUAGCAUUGCAGCUGUGUCACUAUACCCAUACGGCGCAGAGGGAAAUGACAGAGGAUGCGUUGAAAGGAAGGUGGAUUUUAAUUCCCCACUGUUCAAACCGGAGAUCGGAUUCCCUUUUGGGAAAACACUACAUGACUUUCUCUACUUUACAGAUAAUGGACAAAUCAUUUUCCCACCUACGGACAACUAUGUCCCCUCCAACCCUAACCCACCUCCCCAGGGGUUCAGCGGCCAUGAGAGUUUGCCAAUGGUUGCUGCAUUUUGGGACGACGCAGACUUUUCCCAGGGUAUCGGCACCACAUGGUACCAGGAAUACCCCACCCUUGGAUCUACCCGAAGUGCCCUUGUCCAUGACGUGGAAGCGAAGAUCAAGAGAUACAUGAAAAUCUCAUACACAGCAAAAUGGACCCUGAAGGUGACAUGGGAGGAGGCUCCAGCGUACCCGUCCUGGCGGGAUGACACUCAGACAAACACGUACCAAGCGGUCCUCACCACCAACGGGAACCAGGCCUUUGCCUUGCUCCUGUACCAAGACGGUGGCAUGCGGUGGGAUUACACCAAGCUCGCAGCGAGGAACGUGCUCAUUGGCUUUUCCAGUGGCGAUGGAUAUGCCCAAAAUAACGAGCUGACUCAAAAGCCACCAGCUGUUAAAUACCGGCCUGACCAGUACCGAGGCUACGACACUGACCUGCGCGGGCUCUGGAUCUACAAGCUGGACGGUGGUCCCCGGGUGAACUACAGGCUGCGCUGCCUCACGUGGCUGGCGGCGCAGCCGGACCCGGCCAGCUGGAACGGAGAGCUGCUGCCCUGCCCCUGCUCGCGGCCCCAGGCAGAGCUGGACCCCCGCUACCGGCAGAGCAGAGGCCUUGCAGACACCUCCAUGACCAUGCUGCGCACCUCAUUCCCGAGCCGGGCUGGAGCCGGGGUCCGGUGUGUCUACCAGGAUGAGAGCUUGCUCGAAGGCUGGCAGGAGAGGUUCUGGAGCCUUCCCCUCCAUCCCACCACCGAUGGGGAACUGGAGGCCUUUGACUGGUGCUGCCGGCGAGUGGGGAAACCCCUGCUGUGCACCAGGUUUGCCGAGAAGAGACCAAGGGCCAGUUGUGAGGGAUACAUGCCGCCUGCCCCCGCCAGCGCUUUCGGGGACCCCCACAUCAUCACCCUGGAUGGGCUCACCUACACCUUCAACGGGCUCGGUGACUUUGUCCUCCUGCUGGCCAGCGAUGCCCAGACCAGUUUCGUCCUGCAAGGGCGCACGGCCCAGACUGGCACAGCUCAGGCUACCAACUUUGUGGCGUUUGCUGCCCAGUACAUCUCUGCCACAACCACAACAGUCGAGUGGACCCUGGGAAGCCAAGGCGACAUCCAAGUCCUGCUGAACUAUGAGACCAUCCUGUUUUCCUACUCCAGAGACAUGGAUGCCAAUGUGUAUUACAACCCCGGCAUCCUGGUGGUCAAUGCCUCCUCCAUCACAGCCAUCUUCGACGGGGCUGUUGCUGUCUCCAUCUCGACCACCUCCGGGAUCCUCAGCAUGGUCUGCAGCCUGCCCGAUCGGUACCUCAAUGGCACCAAGGGCCUGCUGGGUGUGUGGGACCACAACUCCGCAGAUGACUUCCAAAUGCCGAAUGGCACCAGCAUCCCCAGGAACAGCAGCGAGGAGGAAAUCUUCAGCUAUGGGAUGACCUGGGCUGUUGGAGAUCACAGCCUGUUUGCCAAGCCGCUGGCAGCUCCGGUGACGAACUUCACACCUGUCUUCUUUUCUCGGCUGCGGCAGGAGAACAAAAGCCAGUACCAGCUGGUAGCCUCGCAGUGCCACGGGAGCAGGGAGUGCAUCUACGACGCGCUGAGCACCGGGGAUGUGGCCCUGGGCUUGGCCACCCAGAGCCUUGCAGCCGAUUUCCAGCAGAAGAAGGCAGCACUAAAUGCUUUCCCUCCCAUCAUUGCCGGUGAUGCUUCGCUCAUGGCCUACAGGAUGGAAAGGGUGACAAGGCAGUACCGAGCAGAGGGGGCAGGCACAUGGUUUGUCCCCCAUGUCUCGCCAGAGCUCAACAUAACGGAGAACGGCACCCUCACGUGGGAGCCCACCGGCACGGCCCCAUUCACAGCCAGUCUGGAGGCCGUCGGGGCCAACAACCUCUCCUCCAUCCUCCGGCUCAGCUUCACCCUUUGCAACUGCAGCAGGAGCCGCCAGUGCGAUUACGACGACACCGCCACCGUCGGUGGCUCUUCCCUACAGCUCGCAGCCUGCAAGUGUGAUGACGGCUACUCAGGUACCUUCUGCCAGCACCCGCCGGACCCUUGCGCCCAGGGCUGCUUCCCCGGUGUGAGCUGCCACCCGCGCGCUGGCUGCGGCCCCUGCCCUGCCGGCCUGACUGGCGACGGGAUGCACUGCGCAGAUAUCGACGAGUGCGCGGGGGGGACGGCGUGCCUGGGGAACACCACCUGCACCAACACCAUGGGCAGCUACAUGUGCGCCUGUGCUGCCGGCGAGGCUGGUGCGGGGCUGGGCUGCGCGGCGGCGUGCGGGUCCCACGCCUGCCCUGAGGGCUACUGCAGCAACGGGGGACGCUGCCGCCUGGACCCCGCCACCUGCACACCCGCCUGCCUGUGCCCCCCUGCCUUCACCGACCCGCGCUGCCUGGUGGCAGGCAGCGAUUUCCAGCCCCCGGCCAGCCCAGAUCUGCCCCAGAGGAGUGUGCGGCUGCGAAUCCGGGCACUGCAAAAUGCCACCACUGGGGAAGUCAACGGCACCGUCGCGGCCGUCCUGGCGUCCCUGGAGGUGAAGGCUUUCCGGAGCAACACCAACAUCACCCGCACGGACGACCGUGGCGGCUUCACAUUCGCGGUGGUGUCCAAAUUCGCCUACAACAGCACCAGCACCGUGAUCCGGUUCCUGAACGAGGAGCUCAGGGGGGCCAUCACCGACGCCUUCAACGGGCUGCCCAGGCGUGGGAGGCAGGCAGCAGGAGCACACAUCGCCUUUGAGCGCCUGCACAGGGAUAACGUCACCGACCUGGUGAAGUUGACAGUGUCGGAGCUGAGGAGCUAUUUCACCUGCGGCCUCUCUGGCUACGAAGGCUACCAGCUGGACUACACAGCGAGCGUUGGUUUCCUCUGCGUGUCCCCUUGCAACACGGGCUACUGCCAGCACGGCGGCCGGUGCCGGCACCUGCCAGACGGGCCCACAUGCAGCUGCAUCCCCUUCUCCAUCUUCUCCCCCACUGGCGAGCGGUGCGACCAGCUCGCCGUCAGCCUCGGCGCCUUCGUCGGCAUCUUGCUGGGGGCGCUGGCUCUGCUGUCCCUCCUGCUCGCCUCCGCCUGCCUGGCGCCACGGCUCUGCCGCCGGCACAAGGACGCCGAGAGGGCCAAGGAGUCCUUCUGGAGACCGCGGCCAUUCUCCUGGCUUCACCUGCUCGGCUCAGUCAAAGCUGGUUUUUGGCUGAUGGAUCUCUCCCCUUCCUACCUGCUGAGGUGCCCCCAGCUCAGCCUGUCCUCGCAGGACAACCCCCAGCUCUGCUCAUGUUCCCACUCCAGCUCUCACCAAGGCAGAAGAUGGAGCAGAGCCCAUCCCCUCUGAUGCCUCCGAAUGGUGCUGGGCACCGCAGCUCCAAGCCAUCGACCCAUCAGUUCAGAUAAGGAUUGAGAGGCCACAUGUCAGGCCUCCAAGCCAACCAGCUCAACAACCAUAGCAUGCCGCAAUCUCCAAGGCAGCCGACCACUGCUGUUCCUGCUUCAACACCUCCGGCUGCUUGUGGAGAGUGAGCUGCCUGCUGGGUUGGAUGCUGUUCCCACCACGGACGCCUCUGCCAUGCUGUUCUGCUCUUGAGAUUUUUGAGCAAUGUUAUGUGUGUGGAGCAGGGAACAAGCAUCUGCCUUUUGGGUUCUGGUUGCAGGAAUGUGACUUUUGGGGACAGCUUAUCUAGGGGUGAUGUCUGUGGAAGGAGGUGCCUUUGCUACAGGUCACGUUGGAGGAGAUGCAACUUUUGAACAGAAAAUGUAUUUUUAGCGUGGGUCAUCAAAGUGAGGGGACUCCCCCUUUCACUAAGGACAGUCAAGGUAGUCUUUGGAUGUGUGAGUAAGGAGGUAGUCCCCUGUGGAAUGUAACUGGACCCAGCACAGCCCCCUGAGAGCAGAGUCAGGUUGGACAAUGCAGUGAUUAUAACCCACAAUGAACAAAAUAGAAUUAAAAAAAAAAAGAUUAUGGCAUGUUGCUGAGUAAGUUGUAUGCAUCGUGCAGUGCCUGUGCACUGACCCCCACUUUCCUUUUCCAAGCUCUGGAGCGCCUAGUGGCAGAUUGCCCCUAUGGUGCCAAAGAAAAGAUGCUCGUAGCUUCUGUUGCUCUGUCCCAAUUCCCACCCUCAAAGCAACAGGUCUCACCUCAUUGCUUUCUCAAAUCACCACACAUUGUAGCUCAAAUCACAGCCCCAGCAGCCCAGGACCAGGUCCCUGCAACCACCCUGCUGCUCUUCGCCCAUGUUGAUCAAAGGUGCAUCCUUGGUGCAGGAGCUGCAUCAGGCACAGGGCGAGAGCCAGCCCUGGCCCCCAGCCCUCCUUCCCUUGAGGCUGGCAGGGGCCAGAUCGCAGUUGCGAACAUCCCACCCAGCAGCUCGGCUCUCCAGGCUCACCACACCACUGCUCUGUGCCUGCCCACAUCCCCUUCCCAGCCUUCGGUGCAGCAGAAAACGCAGCUGCCACGGGAUCAGAGAUGCUUAUGCCCAUCAGACACUUUAUUGAAUGAACAGUAUUUGAUAACUCUUUUUUUUUUUUUUUUUUUAAGAAA